UUGCUGCAGCAGCUGCGGUUCUGCUGUGUCAUGCAAGAAGGAGGGCGGCGGGAGCUGGAGGGGGAGGAGGGGAGGAACCUGAUCUCUCCGGUAGCGAAGGGCUGGAGGCAAACACCGAGCUCCCCCAGAGCCGCCCGGGAGCAGGGAGGGCUCCGCUACCCCGGGGGGCCCUCCCCGCGGGGCAGAUGGGAAGUCUAGAACUCAGAAAGGGGAUCUGUGCUAGAACCAUCAGAAUGUGAUGGUUUAUGGAAGCAGAUGAAACCCACAACAGAAAAGUAUGGCAUAAGACCAGAGGACCUUAUGAAAAUGCCCACACUCAAAAGGCGAGGAAACAAACCUACAGAGGAAGAACAUCCAGAGCGGUAGCAAAACCAGAACAAGUAAAGCCAAGAGAAGCCAAGGGAGGAAUUGUCAACAGUAUUAAAUGCUAGAGAAAGGUCAAGAAAAAUGAGGACUGACAGUCCUCGGACCUAGCAACAAGGAGGGCAAUUGUUGUGUUUGGCAAGAAGUAGUUUUCUGGGGUGGUAACCAGACUGCAGUGGAUUGAGGAGUAGAGGAAGUUCUUUUGGAUAAGAAGGUCUAAAGGGCAACUGGGCGGGGGAGGAUAAAGGUAUUGGGAAGAGAAUAAAAUCAUGGUCUGUUAAGGCUGCGUAGGGGAAGAAGGAAAUAAUACAGUAACACGAAAUUUUUUUAUUCUUUGAAGCCUUCUCUUUCAAAUUAAAUGGCGUGACCAUUCAUCCAAUGCUCAAGUCAAAAACAAAUGAACAUGCAGACAUUCAUGAUGCGUCUCCUACCCUCAGUCCUCACAUCCAGUCUAUCAGGAAUUCAGGUCAACCCUACCUCCAAAACAUUUUCACAAUCUGUUUCUUUCUAUCUGUACCGCUACCGCCCUAACACAAGCACCAUCUUCUGGGCUUCUGUAAAUAGCUUUCUAAUUGGUUUUCCUGCUUCCACUCUUGCUCCUGUUCUCCACAGCACAGCCAGAGUGACAGGAAGCAUAAAACAUAAAUCAGAUCUUACUGCUUCUCUUCUUGCAACCCUUCCACGUCUCCUGAUUGCACUUGGAAUAACUCCUUUGCUGGCCUACAGAGCCCUGGGUGGCAACCCAGACCACCUUUUCAAUCUCGCCUCCCACCUCUCUCCCUCGAGUCUAAUCACUCUGGCCUUUUUUCUAUUCCUUAAACACAUUGGAUUUGCUCUUGUUUUAAAGGGCUCAUCCCAGAUAUUUCCUCUUCCUGGAAUACUCUUUUCUUCAUUCUAAUCUCUGUUUAAAUGUCACCUCCUCAAAGAGGCCUUUGCUGACUGCCCUUCUCUGUCCACCUUCCCAACCAUCCUAUGUAGAACUUAACUACUAUUUGUUUUUAUUGUUUAUGGUUGAGAACCCCUCUAAAGUUUAAACCCUAUGAGGAUUCCUGGCACAUAGUAGGUACUUAAAAAUGUUCACUGGGUGUUUAUAGAAGGAAAAAGAGAGGACAGAUUAUUAGAAUUACAGGCAUCAAGGAUCAAAGCCUGGUGUGGUUGAGCAAUUGCUGGGGAUGAUGGAUUAUUAGGCUUUUAAGAUUCCAGAAGUAGAGGAGUUACUAGCUGUGUGACGUUGGGCAUUCAUAUUUCCGAGGUUCACUUUGUGAAUAUAGGUUAUCAGUAAAAUUAAAUUAAAUAGUAUAGUUAUAGGUAUAAGGCAGCCUUGCCAAGCUAUUAGCAGGAAGUCAGGAACUUCUGUGAAUCAAUUUAUAACCUCUACAGACAAUCUCUUCAUGUAGGCUUUCCUGUAAUGGAGUUAACAUUUGAUUAUUAUUAGGGAAAAAUGGCCAAAUUGUGACUUUUAAAAAAUACUAGAGUUCCUGAAAGACCCUGGGUAUUAGAUUAUUUAAGAAGAAAUCAGAGCACUCCUACAAAUCAAUAAGAAAAGAAUUGAAAACACUAGGAAACUGGGCAAAGUGUUUGACAGUUUGCAGUUAAGGAAAUGAAAAUGGACCUUUAAAAUAUGUAAAAAUGCUCAUACUUUCUCAUAACAAGAGAUACACAAAUUACAAUGCAAUGAGAUGUAGUUUUUACAUAUUA
Long non-coding RNA from Phyllostomus discolor (pale spear-nosed bat), 2061 nucleotides. RefSeq lists it as uncharacterized. The record is from RefSeq and is a predicted model, not a curated record. Lineage: Eukaryota; Metazoa; Chordata; Mammalia; Chiroptera; Phyllostomidae. The transcript has 2 exons.